UUGAUGUUUAGCCGGGCGAUGGUUGCCCCGGUCGAAAGGGACUGAAAAUGUUCGGGAAGUAAACAUGGACGAAGGCGAGAAAAGCUGUGUGAAUAUAUGAGGAGCCCGUACCGCAAACCGACACAGGUAGAUAGGAAGAGAAUUCCAAGGCCAACGGGAGAAGGGUUGUUAAGGAACUCGGCAAGUUGACCCCGUAACUUCGGGAGAAGGGGUGCUCAUGAAAGUGAGCCGCAGAGAAUAGGCCCAAGCGACUGUUUAGCAAAAACACAGCUCUAUGCUAAAUCGAAAGAUGACGUAUAUGGGGUGACACCUGCCCGGUGCUGGAAGGUUAAGAGGAGGGGUGAGAGCUCUGAAUUGAAGCCCCAGUAAACGGCGGCCGUAACAAUAACGGUCCUAAGGUAGCGAAAUUCCUUGUCAGGUAAGUUCUGACCCGCACGAAUGGUGUAACGAUUUGGGCACUGUCUCAACAACCCGCCCGGCGAAAUUGUAGUACCGGUGAAGAUGCCGGUUACCCGCGACUAGACGGAAAGACACCAUGGAGCUUCACUGUAGCUUAAUAUUGGAUUUCGGUAUUUGAUGUACAGGAUAGGUGGGAGACUAGGAAGCAAAGGCGUCAGCUUUUGUGGAGUCAAACUUGGGAUACCACUCUUUAAGUGCUGGAAUUCUAACCUGCGACCAUGAAACUGGUCGGGGGACAAUGUUAGGUGGGCAGUUUGACUGGGGCGGUCGCCUCCAAAAGGUAACGGAGGCGCUCAAAGGUUAGCUCAGUAUGGAUGGAAACCAUGCGAAGAGUGUAAACGCGUAAGCUAGCCUAACUGCGAGACUGACGGGUCGAGCAGUAACGAAAGUUGGAGUUAGUGAUCCGGCGGUAUGUGAAUGGAAAUGCCGUCGCUCAACGGAUAAAAGCUACCCUGGGGAUAACAGGCUGAUCUCCCCCAAGAGUCCACAUCGACGGGGAGGUUUGGCACCUCGAUGUCGGCUCAUCGCAUCCUGGGGCUGAAUUUGGUCCCAAGGGUUUGGCUGUUCGCCAAUUAAAGCGGUACGCGAGCUGGGUUCAGAACGUCGUGAGACAGUUCGGUCCCUAUCUGUCGUGGGCGAAGGAUAUUUGAGAGGAGCUGUCCCUAGUACGAGAGGACGGGGAUGGACGCACCUCUGGUGCACCAGUUGUCACGCCAGUGGCACAGCUGGGCAGCUAAGUGCGGAACGGAUAAACGCUGAAG
This 1220-nucleotide ribosomal RNA is filed under the name metagenome. RNAcentral's name for it is "bacterial LSU rRNA". It matches the Rfam family "Bacterial large subunit ribosomal RNA", at positions 1476 to 2776 of the family's 2925-position model. The record is from RNAcentral.